CAAGGCCAUUCUGAGUAUCCGUGAAGACAAGCCCCCACUGGCUGUCAAGUACUUUUUCGACUUCCUGGAGGAGCAGGCUGAGAAGAGGGGAAUCUCCGACCCCGACACCCUACACAUCUGGAAGACCAACAGCCUUCCUCUCCGGUUCUGGGUGAACAUCCUGAAGAACCCCCAGUUUGUCUUUGACAUCGACAAGACAGACCACAUCGACGCCUGCCUUUCAGUCAUCGCGCAGGCCUUCAUCGACGCCUGCUCCAUCUCUGACCUGCAGCUGGGCAAGGAUUCGCCAACCAACAAGCUCCUCUACGCCAAGGAGAUUCCUGAGUACCGGAAGAUCGUGCAGCGCUACUACAAGCAGAUCCAGGACAUGACGCCGCUCAGCGAGCAAGAGAUGAAUGCCCAUCUGGCCGAGGAGUCGAGGAAAUACCAGAAUGAGUUCAACACCAAUGUGGCCAUGGCAGAGAUUUAUAAGUACGCCAAGAGGUAUCGGCCGCAGCUUUUAUAUAUUAAAAAACGUAUCAUGCACCAACUGUGAAUAGCUGCCGCUUGCGCAGAGGACCCGGGGAGGGGUCCCGAGAGGCUCCCCAUGCAACACUGGAAAUGACUGUUCCAGAGAGCGGGCAGACCUGGCAGAGCGCCCCUGGCGCCUGAGACUACCACCCACUCCGUUCCUGCCAGAAACGACCCUCUGUGGCCGAUGGGCCAUGCGGGCCCCUCGCAGCCAACUCAGCCAGUGUUGGGACUGGCUCAGAGCCCAUGGGGGCUGGAGGGGGGCAGCUGGGACUCUGGAAUCUUCUUUAUAAUAAAAGCCUUACG
Molecule: long non-coding RNA, 816 nt
Filed under: Homo sapiens (human)
Lineage: Eukaryota; Metazoa; Chordata; Mammalia; Primates; Hominidae
Description: long non-coding RNA NONHSAT196249.1
Source: RNAcentral